UUAAGUAAGGAAGGGCGUACGGCGAAUGCCUUGCCACUCGAAACUGAAGAAGGACGCGCCAAACUGCGAAAAGCUCCGUGAAGCUGUAAGGAAGCGAAGAAGCGGAGGUGUCCGAAUGGGGGAACCCGGCAGCAGACAUGAGCUGUCAUCUGCAGGUGAAUACAUGGCCUGCAAGAGAGGUACCCGGCGAACUGAAACAUCUAAGUAGCCGGAGGAAAAGAAAACAACAGUGAUUCCCUGAGUAGCGGCGAGCGAAAGGGGAGAAGCCCAAACCGGUUGAAGGACCGGGGUUGAAGGACCAUGACAUGGCAAGAACGAGGAUAGGAGAACGGGAUCGAAAGCCCGGCCGAAGAAGGUGAAAGCCCUGUAACCGAAAUCCGAGUAAAGCCUAAUGGGAUCCUGAGUACGGCGAGACACGAGAAAUCUUGUCGGAAGCAGGCGGGACCAUCCGCCAAGGCUAAAUAUAAACGAGUGAGCGAUAGUGAACCAGUACCGUGAGGGAAAGGUGAAAAGAACCGCGGGAGCGGAGUGAAAGAGAACCUGAAACCGUAUGCCUACAAGAAGUCAGAGCCCGUUAAGGGGUGAUGGCGUGCCUUUUGUAGAAUGAACCGGCGAGUUGCGACAGACUGCGAGGUUAAGGAGGAAAGACCGGAGCCGAAGCGAAAGCGAGUCUUAAGAGGGCGAAAGUAGGAUGUUGCAGACCCGAAACCGGGUGAUCUAGCCAUGAGCAGGUUGAAGUUGAGGUGAAACUCAAUGGAGGACCGAACCGACUACCGUUGAAAAGUUAGCGGAUGACUUGUGGCUAGGGGAGAAAUUCCAAUCGAACCCGGAGAUAGCUGGUUCUCCCCGAAAUAGCUUUAGGGCUAGCGUCGGAAAGAACCUUAGUGAAGGUAGAGCACUGAAUGUGUGAUGGCCCCAUCCCGGGGUACUGAAUACAAUCAAACUGCGAAUGUCAUUAAGGAUGUCCGGCAGUCAGACUGUGAGUGAUAAGGUCCAUGGUCAAGAGGGAAACAGCCCAGACCGCCAGUUAAGGUCCCAAAAUACAGGCUAAGUGGAAAAGGAUGUGGGGAUGCCCAGACAACUAGGAGGUUGGCUCAGAAGCAGCCAUCCUUUAAAGAGUGCGUAACAGCUCACUAGUCGAGUGACCCUGCGCCGAAAAUGUACCGGGGCUAAGCCUGAUACCGAAACUGCGGAUUGUAGGAAACUAUAGUGGUAGGGGAGCGUUGUAUACGAGCAGAAGCCGUACCGUGAGGAGCGGUGGAUUGUAUAGAAGUGAGAAUGCCGGUGUGAGUAGCGAGAUGUAGGUGAGAAUCCUACACACCGAAAGCCCAAGGAUUCCAGGGGAAGGUUCGUCCGCCCUGGGUAAGUCGGGACCUAACGCGAGGCCGAAAGGCGUAGUGGAUGGAAAGCAGGCGAAAGAUUCCUGCACCCGUAUAUGGAGCGAAGGAGUGACGGAGACGGAUAGUGUGACCCUCUUAAUGGAUUGAGGGCGAAGCGAAGCGGCUGGUUACCAGGCAAAUCCGGUAACCAUAAGGCUAGAGCGUGACAGGUAAGCGAAAUCUUAGGAAAGUAGCGAAGCACAUGAUGACGGCUUCCAGGAAAAGCUUCUGGCAAUGCAUAUGCGGCCCGUACCAAAACCGACACAGGUGGGCAGGGAGAGAAUCCCGAGGUGAGCGAGAGAACUGUUGCCAAGGAACUCGGCAAAAUGACUCCGUAAGUUAGCGAGAAGGAGUGCUUAAGCAAUUAAGCCGCAGUGAAGAGGCCCAAGCGACUGUUUAACUAAAACACAGCUCUCUGCGAAGUCGCAAGACGAAGUAUAGGGGGUGACACCUGCCCGGUGCUGGAAGGUUAAGAGGAUCUGUUAAGAGCGAUCUGAAGCAGUGAUCCGAAGCCCCAGUGAACGGCGGCCGUAACUAUAACGGUCCUAAGGUAGCGAAAUUCCUUGUCAGGUAAGUUCUGAC
Molecule: ribosomal RNA, 1961 nt
Filed under: human gut metagenome
Description: bacterial LSU rRNA
Rfam family: Bacterial large subunit ribosomal RNA
Source: RNAcentral